UGGGGAAUAUUGCGCAAUGGUCGAAAGACUGACGCAGCGACGCCGCGUGGAGGAUGAAGCCCUUCGGGGUGUAAACUCCUGUUGCUCGGGACGAAUGCCCCUUUCGAGGGGAUUGACGGUACCGGGUGAGUAAGCACCGGCUAACUCUGUGCCAGCAGCCGCGGUAAUACAGAGGGUGCAAGCGUUGUCCGGAAUCACUGGGCGUAAAGGGCGCGUAGGUGGCUUGGUAAGCGUGCGGUGAAAGCUCGAGGCUCAACCUCGAGUCUGCCGUGCGAACUGCCGAGCUGGAGCACGGUAGAGGCACAUGGAAUUCCGGGUGUAGCGGUGGAAUGCGUAGAGAUCCGGAAGAACACCGGUGGCGAAGGCGGUGUGCUGGGCCGUAGCUGACACUGAGGCGCGACAGCGUGGGGAGCAAA
Molecule: ribosomal RNA, 416 nt
Filed under: uncultured bacterium
Lineage: Bacteria
Description: bacterial SSU rRNA
Rfam family: Bacterial small subunit ribosomal RNA
Source: RNAcentral